UAUGAAAUGCCUGAGCAAAGGAUUAUUUUGAUAGAAUAAAUUACGUGGUAACCCCACUUUCAUUG
Molecule: transfer RNA, 65 nt
Filed under: Paracyba sp.
Lineage: Eukaryota; Metazoa; Arthropoda; Insecta; Hemiptera; Cicadellidae
Description: tRNA-Ile
Source: RNAcentral